Molecule: ribosomal RNA, 509 nt
Filed under: Candida albicans
Lineage: Eukaryota; Fungi; Ascomycota; Pichiomycetes; Serinales; Debaryomycetaceae
Description: eukaryotic LSU rRNA
Rfam family: 5.8S ribosomal RNA (bases 142-295)
Source: RNAcentral
GGCCUCGAUGCUUAUUGCACCACAUGUGUUUUUCUUUGAAACAAACUUGCUUUGGCGGUGGGCCCAGCCUGCCGCCAGAGGUCUAAACUUACAACCAAUUUUUUAUCAACUUGUCACACCAGAUUAUUACUUAAUAGUCAAAACUUUCAACAACGGAUCUCUUGGUUCUCGCAUCGAUGAAGAACGCAGCGAAAUGCGAUACGUAAUAUGAAUUGCAGAUAUUCGUGAAUCAUCGAAUCUUUGAACGCACAUUGCGCCCUCUGGUAUUCCGGAGGGCAUGCCUGUUUGAGCGUCGUUUCUCCCUCAAACCGCUGGGUUUGGUGUUGAGCAAUACGACUUGGGUUUGCUUGAAAGACGGUAGUGGUAAGGCGGGAUCGCUUUGACAAUGGCUUAGGUCUAACCAAAAACAUUGCUUGCGGCGGUAACGUCUACCACGUAUAUCUUCAAACUUUGACCUCAAAUCAGGUAGGACUACCCGCUGAACUUAAGCAUAUCAAAAGCGGGAGGAA